GUGUCAGCCGCCGCGGUAAUACGGAGGGGGCAAGCGUUACUCGGAAUUAUUGGGCGUAAAGGGCGCGUAGGCGGUUCCGUGCGUCGGAGGUGAAAUCCCCGGGCUUAACCCGGGAGCUGCCUCCGAUACGGCGGGACUUGAGUCCGGGAGAGGGGAGCAGAAUUCCCAGUGUAGCGGUGAAAUGCGUAGAUAUUGGGAGGAAUACCAGUGGCGAAGGCGGCUCCCUGGACCGGUACUGACGCUGAGGCGCGAAAGCGUGGGUAGCAAACAGGAUUAGAAACCCUUGUAGUCC
This 292-nucleotide ribosomal RNA is filed under the name uncultured bacterium. RNAcentral's name for it is "partial 16S ribosomal RNA". It matches the Rfam family "Bacterial small subunit ribosomal RNA", at positions 505 to 796 of the family's 1533-position model. The record is from RNAcentral.